AUAACAAAACAUGAGAUAUAACUUGUAGUGAUUAGAUGAAUGAUAGUAUA
This 50-nucleotide non-coding RNA is filed under the name Trypanosoma brucei brucei. Lineage: Eukaryota; Euglenozoa; Kinetoplastea; Trypanosomatida; Trypanosomatidae. The record is from RNAcentral.